AGUACGUGAUAAAAAAUUUCGUGAAGUACAGAAAGAAAAAGCGAGAAUAUAGAUCCAAGUAAGCCCAACAAUAAACAGUCAGAUUAAAAUCAUCAAGCAUAUAGUUCACAUUCACUCCUCCGUUUGAUCGAAAAACUGAAGUAAACUAACCGAUUAAUAGGAACAGCAAGUGCGAGAAAAAGAAGACCAUAAUGGCAGAGACUGCAAACCACUUCAAUGAACGAUUCCAAACCUUUAUGAACGGCCUCGGCGACCGUUAUGAACCCUAUGUGCGUGAACACCUGUCAAAGGUUUACAUGGUCCUGGGUAGCACUGCCGCAGCGUCGGCCUUGGGAGCCAUGCUCCAGAUGCGCGACUUCCUCGAUCUUGGAGUCCUGGCGGCGAUAGCCACUUUGAUUCUGGUCCUAGGCCUGCACUUCUACAAGGAUGACGGCAAGAACUACUACACACGGUUGAGUAUGCUCUAUGCAUUUGGAUUCUGCUCUGGCCAGACCCUCGGACCGCUCCUCGGAUAUAUAAGCAGCAUUAAUCCAGCUAUUAUAGUGUCGGCUCUUACCGGUACUUUCGUUACCUUCGUCACCCUCUCCCUAGCCGCUUUGCUAGCGGAGCAGGGCAAGUACCUCUAUCUGGGCGGAAUGCUAGUCAGCGUCAUUAACACCAUGGCCUUGUUGAGUCUUUUUAACAUGGUCUUCAAGUCGUACUUUGUGCAAGUGACUCAACUAUACGUAGGCGUUUUCGUAAUGGCUGCCUUUAUCGUCUACGACACACAGAACAUUGUGGAAAAGUGCCGAAAUGGAAACCGAGAUGUGGUGCAGCAUGCUCUAGAUCUGUUCUUUGAUGUUCUUAGCAUGUUCCGCCGUUUGCUGAUCAUUCUUACGCAAAAGCUCAAGACCUUUAUGGUAUAACGCGUAUCGGCCGAAUUAUCUAUCUAGAUCAGAUAACCGCCAAACAGUUGCUGAUCACUUUGCAAAAGCUUUAAAUUCUGAAAUUCGGUGUGAAGAACCAUUUCAAACGGAGGAGCGAAAACAGAAUGAACGUCGUAAGAGGAACUAAGUCUAACUUUACUAAAUACCAACCACCAAAACAAAAACAACAAGACAAGGGAUACGAGGAGGUUGGCAGUUUUCUCUUUCUAAAAAUUUAUUCGCAGAGAAAUUCAAAUAUGCCGUGUACAUUUGGCUUUAAAUUUACAUACAAAUGUUCAAUAUAAAAACCUUGAAAAUUCCCCAUUUAAUAAAUACUACAAAAAGUCAAA
Drosophila eugracilis is the source of this 1255-nucleotide RNA transcript. It is a transcript of the gene named bax inhibitor 1, with no coding region annotated. The record is from RefSeq and is a predicted model, not a curated record. Lineage: Eukaryota; Metazoa; Arthropoda; Insecta; Diptera; Drosophilidae. The transcript has 5 exons.